CUACGGGAUGCUGCAGUGGGGAAUAUUGCACAAUGGGCGCAAGCCUGAUGCAGCCAUGCCGCGUGUAUGAAGAAGGCCUUCGGGUUGUAAGGUACUUUCAGCGGGGAGGAAGGGAGUAAAGUUAAUACCUUUGCUCAUUGACGUUACCCGCAGAAGAAGCACCGGCUAACUCCGUGCCAGCAGCCGCGGUAAUACGGAGGGUGCAAGCGUUAAUCGGAAUUACUGGGCGUAAAGCGCACGCAGGCGGUUUGUUAAGUCAGAUGUGAAAUCCCCGGGCUCAACCUGGGAACUGCAUCUGAUACUGGCAAGCUUGAGUCUCGUAGAGGGGGGUAGAAUUCCAGGUGUAGCGGUGAAAUGCGUAGAGAUCUGGAGGAAUACCGGUGGCGAAGGCGGCCCCCUGGACGAAGACUGACGCUCAGGUGCGAAAGCGUGGGGAGCAAACAGGAUUAGAUACCCUCGUAGUC
This 464-nucleotide ribosomal RNA is filed under the name uncultured bacterium. RNAcentral describes it as "partial 16S ribosomal RNA". It matches the Rfam family "Bacterial small subunit ribosomal RNA", at positions 339 to 795 of the family's 1533-position model. The record is from RNAcentral.